This 1187-nucleotide long non-coding RNA is filed under the name Vulpes vulpes (red fox). RNAcentral describes it as "lncRNA (ENSVVUG00000007467.1)". The record is from RNAcentral. Lineage: Eukaryota; Metazoa; Chordata; Mammalia; Carnivora; Canidae.
CACAUGUGCAACAAUAGUUGUUAUUCAGAGGAAUGAUCUGAAGCACUGCAGGUGUCACAAGCAAUAAAUAAAAAUGUUGCUUUAGUCCGUAUUUUACUUAUUAAGGCAGAAAGUCGAAGAAAUGCAGUUGGAAAGAGUAUCCAGCCCAAAGGUGGAAACAGAAAGAUGCCUCAAUGAAUGGUCACUGACCUUGAAAAUGGACAGUUAUGGAAGUCUAAGCUCCAACGAGCCAAGGGCAGUGCCUCUCUCCUUCACCAGAGUAAAUCCAGUGCCUCAGACUAUAAUAGGUAUUCAGUUAAGCCUUGCUGGUGAAUGAGAACUAAAAUAAACUUAAACAUAGUAUUUGGUCAAAAAGGCUUCAAUAGUUUACAUAGUCACUCCUUUAUCAUAUGUGUGAUAGAACCUGUUGUUAGUCACAUUGUAGUUAAUAAUCUUUAAUACAUCAAGAGAGAAUAAUUCAUAAAAAUAAGCACAACAAGCAUUAAUGAAACAUAUGUGUCUGCGUAAGAAAUACUGGCAAAAUGAAAUGCAUAGAUGAAAAUCUAUUUUACUUUUGGCAGUGCGAAAGGGUUUUUCUCUGACUGGGACACACAUGGGACUAAAAAUAAGAAUGCCUUUUAUUGCCAGAAUACUUGACAAUUUACAAAAUGCUUGAGCACAUGUGAUCAUAUUUGAUCCUCACAAGAUAGAGGAAUGUCGUUAAAGGAAAUUAUAUGCAUCACUCUUUUAUAAGAAAAUAUCUGUGGCUCAUGAAAUAGAACAGCUUUCAAAAAGAUUUCUCAUCCAUCAUUACUAACAGUAACAAUCCAACUACUGGCACAGAAGGAGAUAGGAAAGAUGAGCUCCGCCAUAAAGAAAAAUGGAGAGGAGGAUACCUAUAAUGGCAACUUGCAUUUACCGUGAUGAAGACAGACUUCUAUUAUUCAACCUGGGGCAGUUAUAGAAUACUAUCCGAAGAGCUAAGUAAUGAGAUGCCGGAAGUGAGUAAUGAGAAGCAACCUUUGAAAGUCAAGUUUCAGCUCACUGAAGAGGAAUUAUUACCAUACUUAGCACUUCUAUUGCACUGUAUUGAUUGCAGUGCACUUCAAGGACAUAUGCUUCUCACUCUUACUUCCUCGCUAUCCAAGAGUGUUGUCACUGGAUAUCCUGCUGAAGAGUUUGGUGAGUUAUUCUGGAAACCUACAUAA